GGGAAGCGGAAGGCUGCUCCUAGGGGCUUCAUUAAGUCUUACCCACAAUUUCCCAACACAAAGAACUCUGGGAAUUGUAGUUCCCCAGAGAUUUGGGGCCUUUAGCUCAUGAAGUGUGCUGUUUCAAAGGUGCGCAGAUCCAGGAUGUGACAGAUAGGUUGUCAAGAUUUACCAAGCCCUUUGACUAUUAUCCCAUAAUCUACGUGGGAAGGAGUAACACUGCCAGGAACAGUUAUGAAUGUAUCACAUCUGACUACAAAGAAGAUGAAGAGGCAGAGGAAAUCCUCAUCAAAUUGGCAAAUGACACAAAACAGGGUCAAGCAGAGGCUGGAAUAGAUGGCCCAGAAGACCCCUUCUAUGAUUCUGUGACCUGAUAGGAGAGGAAUACUCCUUCAUUACUCAAUUAAAAAAACAGCACGUCAGGUA
Hemicordylus capensis (graceful crag lizard) is the source of this 426-nucleotide long non-coding RNA. RefSeq lists it as uncharacterized. Lineage: Eukaryota; Metazoa; Chordata; Lepidosauria; Squamata; Cordylidae. The record is from RefSeq and is a predicted model, not a curated record. The transcript has 2 exons.